Molecule: ribosomal RNA, 639 nt
Filed under: Microbacterium aurantiacum
Lineage: Bacteria; Bacillati; Actinomycetota; Actinomycetes; Micrococcales; Microbacteriaceae
Description: partial 16S ribosomal RNA
Rfam family: Bacterial small subunit ribosomal RNA
Source: RNAcentral
CGCCCGGAAACCGGGGGGUGAGUAACACGUGAGCAACCUGCCCUGAACUCUGGGAUAAGCGCUGGAAACGGCGUCUAAUACUGGAUAUGAGCUGCGGAGGCAUCUUCGUGGUUGGAAAGAUUUUUCGGUUUGGGAUGGGCUCGCGGCCUAUCAGCUUGUUGGUGAGGUAAUGGCUCACCAAGGCGUCGACGGGUAGCCGGCCUGAGAGGGUGACCGGCCACACUGGGACUGAGACACGGCCCAGACUCCUACGGGAGGCAGCAGUGGGGAAUAUUGCACAAUGGGCGGAAGCCUGAUGCAGCAACGCCGCGUGAGGGAUGACGGCCUUCGGGUUGUAAACCUCUUUUAGCAGGGAAGAAGCGUGAGUGACGGUACCUGCAGAAAAAGCGCCGGCUAACUACGUGCCAGCAGCCGCGGUAAUACGUAGGGCGCAAGCGUUAUCCGGAAUUAUUGGGCGUAAAGAGCUCGUAGGCGGUUUGUCGCGUCUGCUGUGAAAACCCGAGGCUCAACCUCGGGCCUGCAGUGGGUACGGGCAGACUAGAGUGCGGUAGGGGAGAUUGGAAUUCCUGGUGUAGCGGUGGAAUGCGCAGAUAUCAGGAGGAACACCGAUGGCGAAAGGCACAUCUCUGGGGCCGUAAC